GUGAAAUGUUGGGUUAAGUCCCGCAACGAGCGCAACCCUUAUCCUUUGUUGCCAGCGGUCCGGCCGGGAACUCAAAGGAGACUGCCAGUGAUAAACUGGAGGAAGGUGGGGAUGACGUCAAGUCAUCAUGGCCCUUACGACCAGGGCUACACACGUGCUACAAUGGCGCAUACAAAGAGAAGCGACCUCGCGAGAGCAAGCGGACCUCAUAAAGUGCGUCGUAGUCCGGAUUGGAGUCUGCAACUCGACUCCAUGAAGUCGGAAUCGCUAGUAAUCGUGGAUCAGAAUGCCACGGUGAAUACGUUCCCGGGCCUUGUACACACCGCCCGUCACACCAUGGGAGUGGGUUGCAAAAGAAGUAGGUAGCUUAACCUUCGGGAGGGCGCUUACCACUUUGUGAUUCAUGACUGGGGUGAAGUCGUAACAAGGUAACCGUAGGGGAACCUGCGGUUGG
This 454-nucleotide ribosomal RNA is filed under the name Enterococcus faecalis. RNAcentral describes it as "bacterial SSU rRNA". It matches the Rfam family "Bacterial small subunit ribosomal RNA", at positions 1067 to 1521 of the family's 1533-position model. The record is from RNAcentral. Lineage: Bacteria; Bacillati; Bacillota; Bacilli; Lactobacillales; Enterococcaceae.